RNAcentral lists this ribosomal RNA (638 nucleotides) under uncultured Clostridium sp. RNAcentral's name for it is "bacterial SSU rRNA". It matches the Rfam family "Bacterial small subunit ribosomal RNA", at positions 73 to 726 of the family's 1533-position model. The record is from RNAcentral. Lineage: Bacteria; Bacillati; Bacillota; Clostridia; Eubacteriales; Clostridiaceae.
CUUUCGGGAAUGGAAAUGAAAUGAAAGUGGCGAACGGGUGAGUAACACGUGAGCAACCUACCUUACACAGGGGGAUAGCCGUUGGAAACGACGAUUAAUACCGCAUGAGACCACAGAAUCGCAUGAUAUAGAGGUCAAAGAUUUAUCGGUGUAAGAAGGGCUCGCGUCUGAUUAGCUAGUUGGAAGGGUAAAGGCCUACCAAGGCGACGAUCAGUAGCCGGUCUGAGAGGAUGAACGGCCACAUUGGAACUGAGACACGGUCCAAACUCCUACGGGAGGCAGCAGUGGGGAAUAUUGCACAAUGGGGGGAACCCUGAUGCAGCGACGCCGCGUGAGCGAAGAAGGUUUUCGAAUCGUAAAGCUCUGUCCUAUGAGAAGAUAAUGACGGUAUCAUAGGAGGACGCCCCGGCUAAAUACGUGCCAGCAGCCGCGGUAAUACGUAUGGGGCGAGCGUUGUCCGGAAUUAUUGGGCGUAAAGGGUACGUAGGCGGUUUUUUAAGUCAGGUGUGAAAGCGUGAGGCUUAACCUCAUUAAGCACUUGAAACUGGAAGACUUGAGUGAAGGAGAGGAAAGUGGAAUUCCUAGUGUAGCGGUGAAAUGCGUAGAUAUUAGGAGGAAUACCGGUGGCGAAGGCGACU